This 3413-nucleotide long non-coding RNA is filed under the name Capsicum annuum. RNAcentral describes it as "long non-coding RNA (CANN_LNC003850)". Lineage: Eukaryota; Viridiplantae; Streptophyta; Magnoliopsida; Solanales; Solanaceae. The record is from RNAcentral.
UUCAAGUUUCUCCUCUUCAACUGUUGGGUUUUCAGGUUUCUCCUCUUCAACUACUGGUUUGUCAGUUUUUUCUUCAAAUGCUAGUUCAUUAGGUGUUUCUUCCCGUUUUGAUUCCUUGAGUGUUUCUUCAGUUUUUGGUUUUUCAGGUUUCUCUUCAACCAUUGGUUCUUCAAGUUUCUCCUCCACAGUUGUUUUUUCAUGUUUCUCUUCAACUGCCAGAUCUUCAAGUUCUCUCUCAACUGUUGGUUCUUCAGGCUUCUCCAUAACCGCCAAUACUUCAGGCUUCUCUUCAAUUGUUGUUUCUUCAUGUUCUUUUUCAACUACUGGUUCUUGAGAUUUUUCCUUGACUGAUUCAUAGUCAGCAAUAUCAUUGGUGGUAUUGCAUGACAUUACAUAAUCUAUCUUGUCCUUUGAGUCUACAAUUGGAAAAUGCUGCAAGAAAAUUUAAAAGUUUUACUUAGUCUUUCAACAGAUAAACAUAUGUAAAUCCGUUGCACAUAUAAAGCUAAUAUGAUGGAUAAAUUUUGUGACAAUGUUUAAUUCUGACCUUCUCUAGAAGAGCUCCGGUUUCAGGUUUCUCCACUUCAACAACUAGUUCUUUAGGUGUCUUUUCAACCGUUGCUUCUUCAGGUUUCUCUUCAAGUGCUAGUUCUUCAGCUGUUUCCUCCCCCUCUAACUCUUCAGGUGUUUUUUUAGCUGUUCGUUCUUCAGAUUUCUCUUCAGCCGCAGGUUCUUGAGGUUUCUCUUCAAAUGGUAAUUCAAAUUUCUCCUCAACCGAUGGUUCUUCAAAUUUCUCUUGAAUAACUGGUUCUUCAGGUUUUUCUUCAACUGCUGAUUCUUCAAGAUUUUCUUCAACAUUUAAAGAUUGAGCAACAUCAUUACUGGUAUUGCAUGGAAUUUCACUGCCAUUUUUGCUGUUCAAGUCUACAACUAGCAUAUUCUGCAAAAGAGUUUAAUGUUUCACUUAGUCUUUCAAUAAAGAAGCAGACGUGAAUCAUUUCACAUACAUAACUAAUAAUAUGGAUAGCUAAUAAUAUGGAUUAACUUUUAUGACAGAUUUUCCACAAGAGCUACCUUUUCAGGUUUCUCCUCUUCAAGUGAUGGUUUCUCUUCAAAUGAUAGUUCAUUAGGCGUUUCUUCCUGUGUUGGUUUUUCAUGUGCUUCUUCAGUUACUGGUUUUUCAGGUUUCUCCUUAGUUGUUGGUUCUUCGCUUGUCUCCUCAGCUGAUUGUUCUUCAAGCUUCUCUCCUGUUGUUGAUUUUUCUGGUUUCUCUUCAAUUAUCGGUGGUUCAGGUUUUUUCUCAACCGGUGAUUCUUCUGGUUUCUCCAAAACCAUUGAUUCUUCAUGUUUUUUUUCAACUACUGACUCUUCAGUGUUUUCCUCAACUGAUGCAUAGUCAGCAAUAUCGUUGUUGGUAUUGCUUGGAAUUGCAUUGUCUAUCUUGUCCUUUGAGUUUACUUUUGGCAUAUUCUGCAAUGAAGUUUCACGUAGUCUUUCAAUAGAUAAACAAAUGUAAAUUUGUUGCACAUAUAAAAGCUAAUAUGAUGGAUAAAAUUUGUGCCAGUGUUUAAUCCUCACCUUCUCCUGAAGAGCUUCCGCUUCAAGUUCCUCCUCUUCAAUUGCAGGUUUUUCAUCUUUCUCUCCAACAACUAGUUCUUCAGGUUUCUCUUCAAGUGCCAGUUCUUCAGGUGUUUCCUCCUUUGCCAGCUCUUCAGGUGUUUCCUCCUUUGCCAGCUCUUCAGGUGUUUCUUUAGCUGCCGGUUCUUCAGGUUUCUCUUCAACCUCCGGUUCUUGUGGUAUUUCCUCUACUUGUACUUCAGAUUUCUCCUCAAUUGUUGGUUCUUCAGGUUUCUCUCUAACCGCUGCUGCAUUAGGUUUCUCUUCAUUGGCUGGUUCUUCAGGUUUUUCUUCAACUACCGAUUCUUCAGGAUUUUCCUCAAUGUUUGGAAAGGGAGCGACAUCAUUAUUGGUAUUGCAUGGAAUUUCACUGCCAGUUUUGUCAUUCAAGUCCACAACUAGUAUAUUCUGCAAAAGAGUUUAAUGUUUCACUUAGUCUUUCAAUAAAGAAGCAGAUGCGAAUCAUUACAUAUACAUAACUAAUAACAUGGAUAAACUUUAUGACAGUAGUUGACCCUUACCUUUUCCACAAGAGUUACUUUUGCAGGUUUCUCCUCUUCAAGUGCUGGUUUCUCUUCAAAUGAUAGUUCAUUAGGUGUUUCUUCCCGUGUUGGUUCUUCAUGUGCUUCUUCAGUUACUGGUUUUUCAGGUUUCUCCUCAAUUGUUGGUUCUUCGCUUGUCUUCUCAACUGAUGGUUCCUCAUGCUUCUCUCCCGUUGUUGAUUUUUCGGGUUUCUCUUCAGUUGUCGAUGGUUCAGUUUUUUUCUCAACCGCUGGUUCUUUUGGCUUCUCCAAAACCAUUUCCGAUUUCUCUUCAGUUGGUGGUUCUUCAUGGUUUUUUUCAACUACUGGUUCUUCUCUUUUUUCCUCAACUGAUGCAUAGUCAGCAAUAUCGUUGUUGGUAUUGCUUGGAAUUGCAUUGUCUGUCUUGUCCUUUGAGCUUACAAUUGGCAUAUUCUGCUAGAAAAAUAUAAAGUUUCAUGUAGUCUUUCAACAGAGAAACCAAUGUAAAUUUGUUGCACAUAUAAAGCUAACAAAUAUGAUGGAUAGACUUUGCGAGAGUGUUUAAUACUCACCUUCUCCGGAAGAGCUUCCGUUUCAGGUUCCUCUUCAAUUUCUGCUUUUUCAUCUUUCUCUUCAACAACUAGUUCUUCAGGUGUCUCUUCAACCGUUGAUUCUUCAGGUUUCUCUUCAAGUGUUAGUUCUUGAGGUGUUUCCUCCUUUGCUAGCUCUUCAGGUGUUUCUGUAACUGCCGGUUCUUCAGGUUCCUCUUCAGCCACCGGCUGUUGACGUAUCUCCUCUACUUGUACUUCAGAUUUCUCCUCAAUUGUUGGUUCUUCAGGUUUCUCCUUAACCGCUGGUACAUCAGGUUUAUCCUCAUUGACUGGUUCUUCAACUGCUGAUUCUUCUAGAUUUUCCUCAAUGUCUGGAAAGCGAGCAACAUCAUUAUUGGUAUUGCAUGGAAUUUCAUUUCCAGUUUCGUUAUUCGAGUCUACAAUUAGCAUAUUCUGCAAAAAGAAUUUAAUGUUUCAUUUAGCCUUUCAAUAAAGAAGCAUAUGCGAAUAACAGUACAUGCAUAACUAACAAAAUGGAUAAACUUUGUGAUAGUGCUUGAUCCUUACCUUUGCCAAAAGAGUUACCUUUUCAGGUUUCUCCUCUUCAACGGUUGGUUCUUCAUGUUUCUUUUCAAAUGCUAGUUCCUUGGUUGUUUCUUCCGGUGUUGGUUCCAUAGGUGUUUCUUCAGUUACUUGUUUUUCGGGUUUCUCUUCAAUUAUUGGUUCUUCGAUUGUCUUCUCA